GAUGAACGCUGGCGGCGUGCCUAAUACAUGCAAGUCGAGCGAACAGACGAGGAGCUUGCUCCUAUUACGUUAGCGGCGGACGGGUGAGUAACACGUAGGUAACCUACCUUUAAGACUGGGAUAACUUCGGGAAACCGAAGCUAAUACCGGAUAAUAUUUCGAACCGCAUGGUUCGAUAGUGGAAGAUGGAUUUGCUAUCACUAAUAGAUGGACCUGCGUCGUAUUAGUAAGUUGGUAAGGUAACGGCUUACCAAGGCAACGAUACGUAGCCGACCUGAGAGGGUGAUCGGCCACACUGGAACUGAGACACGGUCCAGCCUCCUACGGGAGGCAGCAGUAGGGAAUCUUCCGCAAUGGGCGAAAGCCUGACGGAGCAACGCCGCGUGAGUGAUGAAGGUCUUCGGAUCGUAAAGCUCUGUUAUUAGGGAAGAACAAACGUGUAAGUAACUGUGCACGUCUUGACGGUACCUAAUCAGAAAGCCACGGCUAACUACGUG
RNAcentral lists this ribosomal RNA (497 nucleotides) under uncultured bacterium. Its description in RNAcentral is "partial 16S ribosomal RNA". It matches the Rfam family "Bacterial small subunit ribosomal RNA", at positions 28 to 507 of the family's 1533-position model. The record is from RNAcentral.